RNAcentral lists this ribosomal RNA (492 nucleotides) under uncultured bacterium. RNAcentral describes it as "partial 16S ribosomal RNA". It matches the Rfam family "Bacterial small subunit ribosomal RNA", at positions 29 to 507 of the family's 1533-position model. The record is from RNAcentral.
AGUGAACGCUGGCGGUAGGCCUAACACAUGCAAGUCGAACGGCAGCACAGUAAGAGCUUGCUCUUACGGGUGGCGAGUGGCGGACGGGUGAGGAAUACAUCGGAAUCUACUUUUUCGUGGGGGACAACGUAGGGAAACUUACGCUAAUACCGCAUACGACCUACGGGUGAAAGCAGGGGAUAUUCGGACCUUGCGCUAUUGAAUGAGCCGAUGUCGGAUUAGCUAGUUGGCGGGGUAAAGGCCCACCAAGGCGACGAUCCGUAGCUGGUCUGAGAGGAUGAUCAGCCACACUGGAACUGAGACACGGUCCAGACUCCUACGGGAGGCAGCAGUGGGGAAUAUUGGACAAUGGGCGCAAGCCUGAUCCAGCCAUACCGCGUGGGUGAAGAAGGCCUUCGGGUUGUAAAGCCCUUUUGUUGGGAAAGAAAAGCAGCAGGUUAAUACCCCGCUGUUCUGACGGUACCCAAAGAAUAAGCACCGGCUAACUUCGUG